RNAcentral lists this small nuclear RNA (18 nucleotides) under Arabidopsis thaliana (thale cress). RNAcentral describes it as "snRNA_09314". Lineage: Eukaryota; Viridiplantae; Streptophyta; Magnoliopsida; Brassicales; Brassicaceae. The record is from RNAcentral.
UCUUCUGAGAAGGGUUCG